Non-coding RNA from Acyrthosiphon pisum (pea aphid), 46 nucleotides. The record is from Rfam. NCBI's taxonomy places the organism in Eukaryota, Metazoa, Arthropoda, Insecta, Hemiptera, Aphididae.
AAAAAGGCCCUUUUUAGGGCCACCACAAACAAUAUAAUAUUUUACU